This 427-nucleotide ribosomal RNA is filed under the name uncultured Acidobacterium sp. RNAcentral's name for it is "bacterial SSU rRNA". It matches the Rfam family "Bacterial small subunit ribosomal RNA", at positions 958 to 1385 of the family's 1533-position model. Lineage: Bacteria; Pseudomonadati; Acidobacteriota; Terriglobia; Terriglobales; Acidobacteriaceae. The record is from RNAcentral.
AACGCGAAGAACCUUACCUGGGCUCGAAAUGUUAUGGACCGGGGUAGAAAUAUCCCUUCCCCGCAAGGGGCCGUAAUAUAGGUGCUGCAUGGCUGUCGUCAGCUCGUGUCGUGAGAUGUUGGGUUAAGUCCCGCAACGAGCGCAACCCUUAUCUUCAGUUGCUACCAUUUAGUUGAGCACUCUGACGAAACCGCCUCGGAUAACGGGGAGGAAGGUGGGGAUGACGUCAAGUCCUCAUGGCCUUUAUGUCCAGGGCUACACACGUGCUACAAUGGUCGGUACAAACCGUCGCAAACCCGUGAGGGGGAGCUAAUCGGAAAAAGCCGACCUCAGUUCGGAUUGUAGUCUGCAACUCGACUACAUGAAGCUGGAAUCGCUAGUAAUCGCGGAUCAGAAUGCCGCGGUGAAUACGUUCCCGGGCCUUGUA